UGCGAUACAAUGUAAGCGACUGAGCGAAAGCGUUAAGUAAUCCACCUGGGGAGUACGUUCGCAAGAAUGAAACUCAAAGGAAUUGACGGGGGCCCGCACAAGCGGAGGAACAUGUGGUUUAAUUCGAUGAUACGCGAGGAACCUUACCCGGGCUUGAAAUGCGGCGGACCGGCAGAGAGAUCUGCCUUCCCUUCGGGGCCGCCGUGUAGGUGCUGCAUGGUUGUCGUCAGCUCGUGCCGUGAGGUGUCGGCUUAAGUGCCAUAACGAGCGCAACCCUCAUCAUUAGUUACUAACAGGUCAUGCUGAGGACUCUAGUGAGACUGCCAUCGUAAGAUGCGAGGAAGGUGGGGAUGACGUCAAAUCAGCACGGCCCUUACGUCCGGGGCGACACACGUGUUACAAUGGGUGGUACAAAGGGCAGCUACCUGGCGAGCAGGAUGCUAAUCUCCAAAACCACUCUCAGUUCGGAUACAGGGGUCUGCAACUCGACUCCGUGAAGCUGGAUUCGCUAGUAAUCGCGCAUCAGCCAGGCGC
RNAcentral lists this ribosomal RNA (534 nucleotides) under uncultured bacterium. RNAcentral describes it as "bacterial SSU rRNA". It matches the Rfam family "Bacterial small subunit ribosomal RNA", at positions 825 to 1360 of the family's 1533-position model. The record is from RNAcentral.